AUUACGAAAGCUAUAGCCCCUCCGGGGGUUAUUGCAUCCACCCUUUGUCUACGUGUACCUCUGUUGUUUCCUCGGCGGGCUUGCCCGCCGCUAGGAACCCCUUAAACUCUUGUAUUUACAGUAUUAAAAUCUCUGAUAACUAUUUAAAUUAUUA
RNAcentral lists this unclassified non-coding RNA (154 nucleotides) under uncultured Massarinaceae. RNAcentral's name for it is "sequence contains ITS1". The record is from RNAcentral. Lineage: Eukaryota; Fungi; Ascomycota; Dothideomycetes; Pleosporales; Massarinaceae.